GGUCAUUGGGAAUUGAAGGUUGUGUGGUGUGUGUCACUUUCGGAUCGCACACGCUACAAUAACACCAUAAAAACAGGUUUUAUGGAGAAGACUAAUAUCAGAAGAGACCCGAUUUUGGAAGCGAAUGAAGAGUUGGUGAGAGAGAUAGGGACCGAGGUGAGCCUCAAUAAUGGGCCCCAGAGUUGCACGGAGUAAGUUGGCUUUGGCUUUACCAAAGGAAAUGGGAUCUAUCAUCCACUGCUUUUGCUUCUCCUGUGAAUGCUCCACUAUUCUGCUGUAUUCCAUUCUUUCUAUCUCAAACCCACCACAUCUUCUUAUUGCCCUCUCCACCUCCUCCGUGCUUCUCAUGUAUGCCGGAAUGUUGAAUCCAUCUCUCGUCUCUUCAUCAAUCAUACCCUGCAUAUGUUGCCUAUUAGACACUUAAUUCCAACCUCAAAUCAUCUUUCUUUUUCAUUUCCCCUAAAACUGUGCUUGUGCAUACUGUGGUGUUAUAUGCUAUAUCUUUCUGAUGUCUUUGGCGUGUGGAGUUAAUCUUUCGAGAUCCCACAUAGCUUGAGAAUUGGGUGCGUAUGGGAUAUAUAACUUAAUAUGCCUUGACAAAAUCAUGACCAUGGUAUUGUCAACGGGUGAGUGCUGUCGUUGUUCUUGAAAAAGAAAACAUAUGUAAUGUACCUCAUUUAUAAGGUCCUGCCAUGCCUGAUCCAGGGAAGUGGUGAAAGGAUGCUUAGCUCUUGAGUCUGGAUCACUUAACUGAUUAUCAGGCUGUUGAGACGCAGGCCUCCCUCCCAUUAGUAAAAACAACAUUCCUCCUUGCACUAUUUCUUCUUUCCUGCAUUUCAGAAAGUCCUCCAAGUCUUUCUCUGAUUGCUUCGCGUAUGCUUCGACUACUUCCUUCUUUGCUCCAUCAAUCCACACUCUUCCUUUGUUCCAGGCUGCUGAUCUCUUAUCUAAAACACCAUCUGGUAUCUGAGAAAGCCAGUGUAAGGCGCUCAAGCUAACCGCGACAUGAAGCUUUCUUCUAGGAAAGAGACGACCAUAAAAGGAUCCAGGGACACCAGCAGCAUAAUACUGCUUUCUUUUGUUGUCAGAUAAGAUACCAAUAUUACUCAAUGACCGAAACAAUGAAUUAAAAUCGUUGGAUGGGAGAUCAGAAAAGAACGCCUCAAAUUCAGGCUCGAAACCACACUGGUUAAUGUAACGCUGUCUCAAGGCUUCCACAACCAUAUCUACUGUGGCUAAAGUAUUGUACCCAGUUGCACAACCCAAGUCUGCUACCCUUAGAGACUCAGCUUCUUCCUCGUUCCUGAAGAAAAUUUUCAUGGAUUCAAUAGUUGUUAGUAGCAGCGGCCUACAUAAGCUGAUUGCAGAUGCAGGUGCUUCUGAGUUCUUUGCAUAGCUACUAUCGUCAUCUCCGCCUUGCAUACACAGUACUCUGUGAAGACCUCCUCCUCUUGCUACGUUGGACUUCUUAAAGCAGCUAUUGGGAUCUUGAGAUGAAUUCAUCUGCCCUUCUUUGGAAAGAGAUUCACUUGUAUUCUCAAGAAAUUAACAGAGAAAAAUAAGAAUCUGCUAGCUAGCUAGCUAGCCAGCUAAUUAGCUAUUGUGUUGCCCACAUGGGAAUCAACAGAAGGCAGCAGAUGAUAAAGAUCCCACAAAAGGCAACCAGAAACUAAAAGUAGGAGAGAUUUCGGGAGUUAUCAGCUUUCGUACGCAGAGACUGCCUACCGUUUAUGAUUAUUG
This 1740-nucleotide unclassified non-coding RNA is filed under the name Hevea brasiliensis (rubber tree). The record is from RNAcentral. Lineage: Eukaryota; Viridiplantae; Streptophyta; Magnoliopsida; Malpighiales; Euphorbiaceae.